Molecule: long non-coding RNA, 503 nt
Organism: Penaeus indicus
Lineage: Eukaryota; Metazoa; Arthropoda; Malacostraca; Decapoda; Penaeidae
Exons: 2
Source: RefSeq, a predicted model, not a curated record
UUCAGUGAAGCGGAAAUUAGUUAAUAGAGUUUUUACCAUACAAUCUUUUGUCAAUUUACAGGUUGGUUUGCCAAAUGCUUUGCAUGCAGGGGCUGCUCCAGUGUGGCUUCCAUAUACAGCCCUUGAUAAACUGCUGUUAGAACUGAGAGAAGUGCAGCAGGACAUACACUUUGCAAAGUUGUCGGCGGAGUUGAACGAUCGCCUAAAGAGGUACAACCAGGAACUUGAGUGUGUUUCGCAGAAUCGCAUUAUCUUGCUCCAAGGAUGAUUGAGAAGAACUACAAGAGUGAAGUUUUAAGAUAAAUAGUUCCAGCCAAAGUUGUAAUAGAAGAGCUUUUGUGUAUGGAUUAAGCUAAUAAAUAAAUAUUUUCCUUAAUCUUUUGCAAAUGGUAUGGAAUCAGAGUUGCAUUUACAAUAUGUCAGUGUGAUAAUGUUAUAUUUUUUAGGAUUAUAAGGCCAGCAUUCAACUUUUGUUAUUUUUUAAUAAAGAUACUUGUAUACCA